This 585-nucleotide ribosomal RNA is filed under the name uncultured Mycoplasma sp. RNAcentral describes it as "bacterial SSU rRNA". It matches the Rfam family "Bacterial small subunit ribosomal RNA", at positions 397 to 980 of the family's 1533-position model. Lineage: Bacteria; Bacillati; Mycoplasmatota; Mollicutes; Mycoplasmatales; Mycoplasmataceae. The record is from RNAcentral.
CAGCGUGCAGGAUGAAAUCCCUCGGGAUGUAAACUGCUGUUAUAAGGAAAGAAAAAAUCAAAUAGGAAAUGAUUUGAUCUUGACGGUACCUUAUUAGAAAGCGACGGCAAACUAUGUGCCAGCAGCCGCGGUAAUACAUAGGUCGCAAGCGUUAUCCGGAAUUAUUGGGCGUAAAGCGUCCGUAGGUUUUUUGUUAAGUUUAAGGUUAAAUACUGAAGCUCAACUUCAGCCCGCUUUAGAUACUGGCAAAAUAGAAUUAUGAAGAGGUUAGCGGAAUUCCUAGUGUAGCGGUGGAAUGCGUAGAUAUUAGGAAGAACACCAAUAGGCGAAGGCAGCUAACUGGUCAUACAUUGACACUAAGGGACGAAAGCGUGGGGAGCAAACAGGAUUAGAUACCCUGGUAGUCCACGCUGUAAACGAUGAUCAUUAGUUGGUGGUAUUAAAUCACUAACACAGCUAACGCGUUAAAUGAUCCGCCUGAGUAGUAUGCUCGCAAGAGUGAAACUUAAAGGAAUUGACGGGAACCCGCACAAGCGGUGGAGCAUGUGGUUUAAUUUGAAGCUACGCGUAGAACCUUACCCACUC